CUCGUCUUCUUUCCAGUUUUAGAUAUCCCCUGUAAAUUUUCGAGGAAGGUACGGUUCCUGUUUCAAAAAAUAUUUAUUCGGUGAGGUUUUUAUCAAUUUAUGAAUUGGUUGAAGUAUCAGACAUAAUAAUUUGCUGACCUUGCUGGAUUGUAUCGAAGUAGAUAAAGAAAGUUUGUUUAACAGAAAAGAGACAGAUGAUGGUUUAUGCAGCGUUGAGUCGUACCUGCUGUUUGGGGCAAGCCACUGAAGGCUUCUCUGUAGACGAUAUUGGCGAUGGUGCUCGUGGAGCCACUGGGUCUGGUAAUAUUCAAAACUUUCAGUCCUUUUGGUGUGGUCACUCUUGAUAGUGCCACAUAUAGUUGACCAUGGGUGAAAACAGGUUUGGGCAAGUAAAGAGCAACCUUAGCCAGUGUUUGGCCUUGACUUUUGUUUAUUGUCAUUGCGUAGGAUACUCUAACCGGAAACUGGCGCCUUCUGAGAGUGAAGGGAUGAUUGGACUCUGUGGGUGAUAGGACGAUUCUAGGUAUCAGGACAGUCUGUUUUCUUGGGGAAGAUGUUAGUACUUCUGCCUUAAUAACUCUUUCCCCCAGGUGUGUGACUAUAAGUCUUGUACCAUUGCAUAGCCCUUCAGCCUGAUUUAUGUUGCGAAGGAGCAUGAUUGGCACCCCAACUUUGAGGCAAAUUCUAUGCGCAGGCAAGCCUGAAAAUUGUAAAGAGUUGAGAUAUUCCAAAGGAUAUGUUAAAUCAAACUCUCCCGAAUGUUUUUCGUCCUCAGCGAAGCUGUCGUAGCUUAAGAAUUCUUGCUCAGCACCCGGUAUUUUGGAAAGCAAGUAAGUGUUGAUUUCAUCAACCGUAGCGUUCUUCGGAGUUAAUAUAGCUGAAUCUCUGAUUUUUUCCAUGUCCUUGUAAUCAUUUGUGAAAUCUGGGAAAACAGAUUGACAAAGGAUGUCAAGUGGGUUGGAAGUCACAGGAAGGAGGAGAGAAUCGUCUAUCAGAAUUUGGUCUUCAGCAGCUUCUGUGUAUAUUUCUUUCUGAGGCGCCAGUGCUGCAACCCCAUCACCGACUUGUAAAAUCCAUUUAGCAAAAUCUUUUUCGUCAGAUUGUACGCGCAUGUUUGUGGAGAGAACAUGAAUUUCACAGUGGUUCCAGAGGUGUGAGUGAUUAACAGCUGCGUUAACUGUUU
Brassica rapa (field mustard) is the source of this 1183-nucleotide long non-coding RNA. RefSeq lists it as uncharacterized. NCBI's taxonomy places the organism in Eukaryota, Viridiplantae, Streptophyta, Magnoliopsida, Brassicales, Brassicaceae. The record is from RefSeq and is a predicted model, not a curated record.